AGGUAAGCUACUAAGAGCGAAUGGUGGAUGCCUUGACUGGUAAAGGCGAUGAAGGACGUACUAGACUGCGAUAAGCUACGGGGAGCUGUCAAGAAGCUUUGAUCCGUAGAUUUCCGAAUGGGGCAACCCAAUGUAUAGAGAUAUACAUUACCUAUAUAGGAGCGAACGAGGGGAAUUGAAACAUCUUAGUACCCUCAGGAAAAGAAAUCAAUAGAGAUUGCGUCAGUAGCGGCGAGCGAAAGCGCAAGAGGGCAAACCCAGUGCUUGCACUGGGGGUUGUAGGACUGCAAUGUGCAAGAGGUAAGUUUAGCAGAACAUUCUGGAAAGUAUAACCAUAGAGGGUGAUAGUCCCGUAUGCGAAAAACAAACCUUAGCUAGCAGUAUCCUGAGUAGGGCGGGACACGAGGAAUCCUGUCUGAAUCCGGGUCGACCACGAUCCAACCCUAAAUACUAAUACCAGAUCGAUAGUGCACAAGUACCGUGAGGGAAAGGUGAAAAGAACUGAGGUGAUCAGAGUGAAAUAGAACCUGAAACCAUUUGCUUACAAUCAUUCAGAGCCCUAUGUAGGAAUACAGGGUGAUGGACUGCCUUUUGCAUAAUGAGCCUGCGAGUUGUGGUGUCUGGCAAGGUUAAGCAAACGCGAAGCCGUAGCGAAAGCGAGUCUGAAUAGGGCGCUUAGUCAGAUGCUGCAGACCCGAAACGAAGUGAUCUAUCCAUGAGCAAGUUGAAGCUAGUGUAAGAACUAGUGGAGGACUGAACCCAUAGGCGUUGAAAAGCCCCGGGAUGACUUGUGGAUAGGGGUGAAAGGCCAAUCAAACUUCGUGAUAGCUGGUUCUCUCCGAAAUAUAUUUAGGUAUAGCGUUGUGUCGUAAUAUAAGGGGGUAGAGCACUGAAUGGGCUAGGGCAUACACCAAUGUACCAAACCCUAUCAAACUCCGAAUACCUUAUAUGUAAUCACAGCAGUCAGGCGGCGAGUGAUAAAAUCCGUCGUCAAGAGGGAAACAACCCAGACUACCAGCUAAGGUCCCUAAAUCUUACUUAAGUGGAAAACGAUGUGAAGUUACUUAAACAACCAGGAGGUUGGCUUAGAAGCAGCCAUCCUUUAAAGAAAGCGUAAUAGCUCACUGGUCUAGUGAUUUUGCGCGGAAAAUAUAACGGGGCUAAAGUAAGUACCGAAGCUGUAGACUUAGUUUACUAAGUGGUAGGAGAGCGUUCUAUUUGCGUCGAAGGUAUACCGGUAAGGAGUGCUGGAGCGAAUAGAAGUGAGCAUGCAGGCAUGAGUAGCGAUAAUUAAUGUGAGAAUCAUUAACGCCGUAAACCCAAGGUUUCCUACGCGAUGCUCGUCAUCGUAGGGUUAGUCGGGUCCUAAGUCGAGUCCGAAAGGGGUAGACGAUGGCAAAUUGGUUAAUAUUCCAAUACCAACAUUAGUGUGCGAUGGAAGGACGCUUAGGGCUAAGGGGGCUAGCGGAUGGAAGUGCU
This 1479-nucleotide ribosomal RNA is filed under the name Campylobacter jejuni. RNAcentral describes it as "partial 23S ribosomal RNA". It matches the Rfam family "Bacterial large subunit ribosomal RNA", at positions 1 to 1508 of the family's 2925-position model. The record is from RNAcentral. Lineage: Bacteria; Pseudomonadati; Campylobacterota; Epsilonproteobacteria; Campylobacterales; Campylobacteraceae.